Molecule: small nuclear RNA, 120 nt
Organism: Panthera leo (lion)
Lineage: Eukaryota; Metazoa; Chordata; Mammalia; Carnivora; Felidae
Gene: U4
Rfam family: U4 spliceosomal RNA
About the family: U4 small nuclear RNA (U4 snRNA) is a component of the major U2-dependent spliceosome. The structure of U4 snRNA from yeast and human has been reported. U4 snRNA presents a k-turn RNA motif in the 5p-SL related to recognition of Snu13 protein.
Source: Ensembl
AGCUUUGUAUAGUGGCAGUAUCAUAGUUAAUGAGGUUUAUCUGAGGCGUAAUUAUUGCUAAUUAAAAUUUCUAUGAACCAAAUUGGCCAAAUCUAGAAUAUUUUGUGUAGGGGCAGCUCA